CCCUACGGGGGGCAGCAGUGAGGAAUAUUGGUCAAUGGGCUUACGCCUGAACCAGCCAAGUCGCGUGAGGGAAGACUGCCCUAUGGGUUGUAAACCUCUUUUGUCAGGGAGCAACGCCGGCUACGUGUAGCCGGACUGAGAGUACCUGAAGAAAAAGCAUCGGCUAACUCCGUGCCAGCAGCCGCGGUAAUACGUAGGGGGCAAGCGUUAUCCGGAUUUACUGGGUGUAAAGGGAGCGUAGACGGCUGUGCAAGUCUGAAGUGAAAUGCCGGGGCUCAACCCCGGAACUGCUUUGGAAACUGUAC
This 305-nucleotide ribosomal RNA is filed under the name uncultured bacterium. RNAcentral describes it as "bacterial SSU rRNA". It matches the Rfam family "Bacterial small subunit ribosomal RNA", at positions 337 to 638 of the family's 1533-position model. The record is from RNAcentral.